RNAcentral lists this unclassified non-coding RNA (427 nucleotides) under Allium cepa (onion). RNAcentral describes it as "partial contains 5.8S rRNA, ITS2 and 26S rRNA". The stretch from base 295 to 427 matches the Rfam family "Eukaryotic large subunit ribosomal RNA", at positions 1 to 133 of the family's 3401-position model. The record is from RNAcentral. Lineage: Eukaryota; Viridiplantae; Streptophyta; Magnoliopsida; Asparagales; Amaryllidaceae.
AGUUGCGCUCGAGGCCAUUAGGUUGAGAGCACGUCUGUUUGGGCGUCAUGCCUUGCGUCAUUCUAACCAUCCACCUACUGUAAACAUACUGUGAGUGAUGGCGGAUGUGGAGAUUGACCCUCCGUGCCUUAAUUGUGCGGUUGGUUUAAGUGAAUGUUGUCGUUAGGUCUACGCGCGGCGAAUGGUGUAUCGAGUUAACACACGAUGUCUCUAACUGCGUCCAGGAGUCCUACGAACGAUGUAACAAUAACUGAAACCAUUUUCGACGUUUGCCUUAGUUGCAAGCUCGGAACAUGACCUCAGAUCAGGUGGGGCAACCCGCUGAGUUUAAGCAUAUCAAUAAGCGGAGGAGAAGAAACUUACGAAGAUUCCCUUAGUAACGGCGAGCGAAUCGGGAAAAGCCCAGCUUGAGAAUUAGGUGGUUGUG